This 565-nucleotide ribosomal RNA is filed under the name uncultured Glomeromycotina. Its description in RNAcentral is "SSU rRNA". It matches the Rfam family "Eukaryotic small subunit ribosomal RNA", at positions 548 to 1114 of the family's 1831-position model. Lineage: Eukaryota; Fungi; Glomeromycota. The record is from RNAcentral.
UUGGAGGGCAAGUCUGGUGCCAGCAGCCGCGGUAAUUCCAGCUCCAAUAGCGUAUAUUAAAGUUGUUGCAGUUAAAAAGCUCGUAGUUGAAUUUCGGGAUCAAUAUGCUGGUCGUGCUUUUGGUACGUACUGGUAUUAUUGGUUUCUCCUUUCUGAUGAAUCACGAUGUCAUUAAUUUGGUGUCAUGGGGAAUCAGGACUGUUACUUUGAAAAAAUUAGAGUGUUUAAAGCAGGCUUACGCUUGAAUACAUUGGCAUGGAAUAAUGAAAUAGGACGUUUAAUUCUAUUUUGUUGGUUUCUAGGAUUGACGUAAUGAUUAAUAGGGAUAGUUGGGGGCAUUAGUAUUCAAUUGUCAGAGGUGAAAUUCUUGGAUUUAUUGAAGACUAACUACUGCGAAAGCAUUUGCCAAGGAUGUUUUCAUUAAUCAAGAACGAAAGUUAGGGGAUCGAAGACGAUCAGAUACUGUCGUAGUCUUAACCAUAAACUAUGCCGACUAGGGAUCGGAUGAUGUUAAUUUUUUAAUGACUCAUUCGGCGCCUUACGGGAAACCAAAGUGUUUGGGUUC